RNAcentral lists this long non-coding RNA (164 nucleotides) under Ictidomys tridecemlineatus (thirteen-lined ground squirrel). RNAcentral describes it as "lncRNA (ENSSTOG00000033975.1)". Lineage: Eukaryota; Metazoa; Chordata; Mammalia; Rodentia; Sciuridae. The record is from RNAcentral.
AAAAGGAAAGGAUAAGGGCGUGUUCCUAACCGGCUCCUUCUCCUUGCAGCCUGCUUCAUUCUCCUGCUCACGGCUCUCCUGGUCCUGCCGCUGUCCAUGGCCUUCACAGGAAUGAAGUUUUUGGAGGACUGCCCCAUACAGCCUCUCAUUCCCUUGUAUUUGCU